RNAcentral lists this ribosomal RNA (253 nucleotides) under uncultured bacterium. RNAcentral's name for it is "partial 16S ribosomal RNA". It matches the Rfam family "Bacterial small subunit ribosomal RNA", at positions 524 to 776 of the family's 1533-position model. The record is from RNAcentral.
UACGAAGGGGGCUAGCGUUGCUCGGAAUCACUGGGCGUAAAGCGCACGUAGGCGGCUUUCUAAGUCAGGGGUGAAAUCCUGGAGCUCAACUCCAGAACUGCCUUUGAUACUGGAAAGCUUGAGUUCGCGAGAGGUGAGUGGAACUGCGAGUGUAGAGGUGAAAUUCGUAGAUAUUCGCAAGAACACCAGUGGCGAAGGCGGCUCACUGGCCCGAUACUGACGCUGAGGUGCGAAAGCGUGGGGAGCAAACAGG